RNAcentral lists this ribosomal RNA (199 nucleotides) under uncultured bacterium. RNAcentral describes it as "partial 16S ribosomal RNA". It matches the Rfam family "Bacterial small subunit ribosomal RNA", at positions 328 to 539 of the family's 1533-position model. The record is from RNAcentral.
ACGCUCGACACCUACGGGGGGCAGCAGUGGGGAAUAUUGCACAAUGGGGGAAACCCUGAUGCAGCGACGCCGCGUGAGCGAAGAAGUAUUUCGGUAUGUAAAGCUCUAUCAGCAGGGAAGAAAGUGACGGUACCUGACUAAGAAGCACCGGCUAAAUACGUGCCAGCAGCCGUGGUAAUCUGAGGCGGGCUGGCAAGGC